RNAcentral lists this long non-coding RNA (602 nucleotides) under Ananas comosus (pineapple). RNAcentral's name for it is "long non-coding RNA (ACOM_LNC017020)". The record is from RNAcentral. Lineage: Eukaryota; Viridiplantae; Streptophyta; Magnoliopsida; Poales; Bromeliaceae.
GGAUAAUUAUCUAUAUAUCACUCAAAAACUUUAAAAAUAUCUAAAUUAUUUUUUUUUUUCAAAUAUGUUUUUCGUAUAUUCCUCCGUUAUUCAAAAAUGCUCCCACAGUUAACAUUGGUUAAGUUAUCUCGGAUUAAACAUUAGUUAUAUGUCUACCGGAGUUAAAAAAAAAAAUCAAAAUACCUCUAAGAACGGACAAAUAUUUUUUUGUCCCUAACUUAAGGGUAAAUAAAAAAAAGUUGAUGAUGAUAGAAGGGUAUAUUUAAAAGGGUAAAAUAGUAAUUUUACAGUAAUAACGAUUACUGUAAAUAGUAAUUUUACAGUUAGUAAUUUUACAGUAAUUUUACAGUAAAAUAGUAAUUUUACAGUAAUUUUACAGUAACAACUAUUACUGUAAAUAGUAAUUUUACAGUAAUUUUAAAUUAUAGAAGGGUAUAUUUAAAAGGGUAAAAUAGUAAUUUUACAGUAAUAACGAUUGUUGCUAACCGUUUACUAACGGAAUUUAUUUCUAAAAGUAUAUUUAAAAUAACUUGUAAUGUUAAAAGGAUAUUUUUAAUAUUAAACUUCUAAAAGUGAUAAAUUAGGAAAUCAAAAAAAAAAUU